UACAGAGGUCUCAACCGUUGUUCGGAUUCAUUGGGCGUAAAGGGUGCGUAGGCGGUCGCGCAAGUCGGAUGUGAAAUCUCAGGGCUCAACCCUGAAACUGCAUUCGAUACUGCGUGGCUAGAGUGCUGGAGAGGAGACUGGAAUUUACGGUGUAGCAGUGAAAUGCGCAGAUAUCGGGAGGAACACCGGUGGCGAAGGCGGUUCUCUGGGCCUUACCUGACGCUGAGGAGCGAAAGCGUGGGGAGCGAACAGG
Molecule: ribosomal RNA, 253 nt
Filed under: uncultured bacterium
Lineage: Bacteria
Description: partial 16S ribosomal RNA
Rfam family: Bacterial small subunit ribosomal RNA
Source: RNAcentral